This 353-nucleotide transfer-messenger RNA is filed under the name Bryobacteraceae bacterium. It matches the Rfam family "transfer-messenger RNA". Rfam says of the family: Bacterial tmRNA, also known as 10Sa RNA or SsrA, is named for its dual tRNA and mRNA-like properties. Its role is to liberate the mRNA from a stalled ribosome. To accomplish this part of the tmRNA is used as a reading frame that ends in a translation stop signal. Lineage: Bacteria; Pseudomonadati; Acidobacteriota; Terriglobia; Bryobacterales; Bryobacteraceae. The record is from RNAcentral.
GGGGGCGAAACGGCUUCGACGGGAUUGGAUUGGCGUGGAAAGGCGUGCCGGGUUCCGAGCUCCCGUAAAACGAUCGGAAAACCAAUAACUGCCAAUCAGCAGUUCGCCUACGCCGCCUAAAUCUUAGGCGGCCGCCCCGGCCGGCGGGCCCGCAAGCCGGCCACCGGGCGUCAUUUAGCGGGCUGGGCGGAAGGGCUUCGGUCCGGAGCCUGAGGCCGACAACCAAUCGGGCUAGGCCGCCGUGAUUCUCGCCGGUUCUAAGGCGGCGGUCGAAAAAGUCGAGCCGGCUACGCACGUAGGCUUUCCGCGGCAGACUUUCUCGGACGCGGGUUCGACUCCCGCCGCCUCCACCA